This 424-nucleotide ribosomal RNA is filed under the name uncultured bacterium. Its description in RNAcentral is "bacterial SSU rRNA". It matches the Rfam family "Bacterial small subunit ribosomal RNA", at positions 355 to 796 of the family's 1533-position model. The record is from RNAcentral.
UGGGGAAUAUUGGACAAUGGGCGAAAGCCUGAUCCAGCCAUGCCGCGUGAGUGAAGAAGGCCUUCGGGUUGUAAAGCUCUUUCGGCGGGGACGAUGAUGACGGUACCCGCAUAAGAAGCCCCGGCAAACUUCGUGCCAGCAGCCGCGGUAAUACGAAGGGGGCUAGCGUUGUUCGGAAUUACUGGGCGUAAAGCGAACGUAGGCGGUGUUCCAUGUCAGAGGUGAAAGCCUGGGGCUCAACUCCAGAAUUGCCUUUGAAACGGGAACGCUUGAGUCCGAGAGAGGAUGGCGGAAUUCCUAGUGUAGAGGUGAAAUUCGUAGAUAUUAGGAAGAACACCGGUGGCGAAGGCGGCCAUCUGGCUCGGUACUGACGCUCAGGUUCGAAAGCGUGGGGAGCAAACAGGAUUAGAUACCCCCGUAGUCC